RNAcentral lists this ribosomal RNA (207 nucleotides) under uncultured bacterium. RNAcentral's name for it is "partial 16S ribosomal RNA". It matches the Rfam family "Bacterial small subunit ribosomal RNA", at positions 568 to 774 of the family's 1533-position model. The record is from RNAcentral.
CGCGUAGGCGGUUGAGUAAGUCAAAUGUGAAAUCCCCGGGCUUAACCUGGGAACUGCAUUCGAUACUGCUUAACUAGAGUGUGGUAGAGGGAAGUGGAAUUCCGGGUGUAGCGGUGAAAUGCGUAGAUAUCCGGAGGAACACCAGUGGCGAAGGCGACUUCCUGGGCCAAUACUGACGCUGAGGUGCGAAAGCGUGGGGAGCAAACA